Molecule: unclassified non-coding RNA, 333 nt
Filed under: fungal sp.
Lineage: Eukaryota; Fungi
Description: partial internal transcribed spacer region
Rfam family: Eukaryotic small subunit ribosomal RNA (bases 1-46)
Source: RNAcentral
AAGUCGUAACAAGGUCUCCGUUGGUGAACCAGCGGAAGGAUCAUCAUCAAUUUCAUCAUAUCCCUUCCCCUCCAGGGUUUUGGGAUCCAUGAUAAACCCUUCUGUGCACCGUAUCCGUUCACUUUGGCAGGCUUUGGUGCGGGGGGGGUGAGCAACCUCCUCCUCCCCAACCUCUCGUUCUCCCUCCUCCACACGAGGAGGGGGGUUUACGCGUGGCGGCCUGCCGGAGUCCUACAAUUACAAACGCGUUUUUUCGAAUUCGACUGAAAAUUAUCUCCUUUGAGAAAUCAAAGAAAACGAAAACAACUUUCAACAACGGAUCUCUUGGCUCUC